Capsicum annuum is the source of this 18241-nucleotide long non-coding RNA. RefSeq lists it as uncharacterized. The record is from RefSeq and is a predicted model, not a curated record. Lineage: Eukaryota; Viridiplantae; Streptophyta; Magnoliopsida; Solanales; Solanaceae. The transcript is spliced from 3 exons.
UGCCAUGUAAAUUGACCUUCAAGACAUUGAUAAAUGCAUCCUUCAAAUUUUUUGUGUAUUCAACAAGUUUUACAUUGUAUGUCUUCUUUAUUUCAUGAACGGUUGGAAUGAGGUAAGAGUGCACAAUCUAUGAUAAAUAAAUAUAAUUAGUAACAAAUUCAGUUUUUUUAACUAGAAAAUUAAAAAGAAAAUUUCAUGCCUUUUUACUCCUUGUUCAUAAGGAUAACCUUCAAUAAGUCUUUCACUUUUUGAAGUGUGCCACCUUAGCAGUCUAAGAAUGAGCUGAGGGUGAUCCCGAAAUUCUCUGUUACCUUUGCCAACUUGGGAAAAGACUUCAUAGAUCCAAAUCUAUAAUCAAAUAAAAUAUAAAUAAAUAAAUAAAGAACGUUCAAUAUAUAAAUAAUGCAUAAGUAACUGGUUAUCUAUAAUAAACUAUUCAAAUGAUUGAUCAUACCUACAAAAAAUACCCAAGAAAAUCCAUACAGAGUGUAUGAUGCACCAUUCCUCUUAAGACAUAUCUCCUUUAGCCGUUAGAAAUCUAUCAUUUUCUUGUGAUACUCGAGAUCGAAUGACUCUUUCCAUGGAUACUUACAGAAGAAUUAGAUAAAAUUGGUCAUCUUGAUGAUGUCCACCUCAACAUUGUUUCUUCAUCCCUGGCAAGAAAAAUUGUGUACACAAAUUAGAUCAAAUAACACAUAUAUUGUCAUCCUUCUCCAACCUAUCUCCUCCCAAAAGCUUCACCAACUUCUUUGCACCAAUAUUUUUUUGGUUACCCUCUUGUAAAAAUCUCCACCACUCUCAAUUACCCGAUUGUACUUUGAUUACAGGAAUAUUUGGAAUAAUUUAGCUUGCUGAUCAAUGCAAACUUCUACAAGUCAAAACAAGUUGGAUUAUCACUGAUGCAAAUCCAUGUCUCUCGUUCUCCUUAGGGUUAUCCUUUACUCUAUGCAACAAGGUAUAGUAAAUAAGUUGUUUAUUGAACUUAAUAAACUUGGACAACUUCUGUAAGAACCCAAAACACAACAGCUUGAACCUAGAUUUAAGAUUUUGAUCAUCUAGAACCUUCGUAAAUUUACCGUUGAGUGUCAUCCUAGACUGAACAAAAAUUUUAGCUGAAAAAAAACAACAUCAUCAGAAAUAAUGGUGAGGUCGAAUCUCUUACCAAAAAUGUACCUUACACUAUGAAGCAUGGAAAACGCCUCCUCAUCUAACUCCUCUUUACUCGAACUUUCCUACUCAAAAUGUCUCCAACUACAUUCCCCAACAUUUCCUUUAUCAAAUAACUACUACCUUUCCGACUCUUCUGCUUUAACUAUUUCCCUCUUUGAAUCCCUUUAGUAUUCUUCUCCUUUUUUAAUAAUACCCAUGUUAAGCAACACACAUAUACCUUUAGUCAUAUUUUAGAUAAGAUCUAUAGUAGAUCAAAUAGUCUAUUAAAAGAGCGAUAAUUUGCAACAGUAACAAUGGAAAAAUACAGAAUCAAAACCGACAAAUACCAUUAUAAUGGAGAAGAAUCAUCAAUUCUUGUUGAUGUACAAAGGUAUGGAAUUUUAUUUUUAACUUUUCUUGAAGUAUUGUUUCAUGUUUGUAAUUUUAUGGUCCAGAUUUGCAGAUCAAAUUCGUUAGAGAAUAAAUGAAAGGUAGAUUUGGUCCUACUAAGUGUGUCAACUUAUUUAUAACAAAUCUUAAUGUGCUAAAUAAUAAAUUUUAAUUAUAAUAAAAUAUGAAGAAAUAAUAAUUUUAUUGAUAAAUAAUAUAUGGGUACAAUUCUUGUUUUCUUGAUUCUUGUCUCUUGAUUUUCUUCAUAAUUCGAGGGUCGUUGGUAGCGUAUUUUCUUGAAUGUAGGAAGAUUUGAAUUUGAUAUGAAUUUUAUCAGUAAUUCAAGGAUCGUUAGUAGCAUAUUUCUCAAAUAUAUAAAGAUUUGGAUUUGACCUCCAGAAAGGAGGUUUUUUGGUAGAUCUUCUUGAAGUAUAUGAUUAUAAAGAAUAGAGAGUUUUGAUCUCUUUUUGUGAAUAUUCCAUAAGUUUAUGGAGUUUUGGAGAUACUUGAUCUCUUUGUGAAUAUUCCAUGUUGAGUAACAGAUCUGUCUUUUCAAGAAAAUAUUUACCCCUUUAUAUAAGUAUAAUUUAGGAUUUUAGGUUAGAGUAGCCUCCAAGAACUCCAACAAAAAUUAGAUUCGUCUUGUAGAGUCCCACAUAUUCUCUGUAAUUAACAAAAAGAUAAAUUGCUAUUCCUCUAGGUGUGUUCUUGAAGUGAAGCAUCCUUUUAAGUAAUCCAAUAGUGUCAUGCUAUUAUUACUUAGUAUUCAUAUGAUGAAGGCACAUUGAUCUUCUUUUUUCCUCUCAAAUAUCAUUUUGACUCCAAUUCUAUUUUCAUUUACAUUGUUGGCUUAUAUAGCUCCCCCUUCCUUUACUUCACUAUUUUGUGUGAGUUGAAACUCCUGCCUCUUCUAGUUAACUAAGCUGCUUGCGGAGCGAAGACGAGAGACAGGACACAAGAGUUGAGGUCCGUCAUUUUGAUUUCUUCUCUGAACUUACAGCGUAUGACUUUUCGGUUCAUAUUUAUCCAAAAUAUUUUCUACACACAUAAAUUUUGUAAUAAGCUCAAAACAUUCAAAAUAAUGAUGUAAAAAUACAAUUAUAUAUGCAUAAGAUAUGAAGCAAAAAUGUAUUAUAAAAAUUUACUUAUAGCCUAAUAUAGAGUAAUUUCCAUGAUAGUCAUUCAUAUUCUGAAAAUUAUCUACAAAUAUCAUUUUUGUUUUUUAGGACAAAAAUAUCACUCAAUUAUCUCUAUUUUCCUAAAAAAAAUACACUAUACUUCAAAAACAUUUCUUCUCUCCUAGUUGACAUACCAUGUCAUUAAAAUUUAUUUUUUACAUAUAUAAUAAAUCUAUUUAACUUAUCAAAUUUAUUUAACUAAAGUUUUAUUCUAUUUUUUUAAAAAAUAAACACACAUGAUAUAUUUAUAAUUGAGGAACAAUUUAAUUAUGUACUUUAAAUUUUAUAUUUAUUUUGUCUUUCUUAAAAAAAAAUAUAAAUUAUAUUUAUUCUUUAUUCGAUACGAGAAAAACUAUUACUUCACAUGAUAAAAAUGUCAAAUAAUCACACAACUUAAAGGGAAAUAAUUUGUCUCGUAAUGUUAUGCACAUUACUCAUCAAUGAAGUAGUUGAUAUGUAAAGGUUUGAAUUAUUUUAUUUGGUACUUUUCAAAAUUUUUUAAUUUAUUUAUUUCACCACUUAAUAAUAUUUUUAAAACUCAAGGUAUUUAAAUGAAUUGGUACUAAUUUAAUAUUUUUUGAUUAUUUAUUCAUAUACUAAAGAUUCUUAAAAUGUAAAAGAAAUAAAAAUGAUGGCUUUCGAAUUUUCAUAUACGUACUAAGUGUACUAUUUUUGAAGGAAAGAAAAAUUAUUUAGUCAUGAAACAAAUUAAUUUUUUUUAAAAAAAUAUUAACAAAAUGAUCCAAUAUUACAAAUGGAUCUUUAAAAUAGUACCCAACCAAUUAUCACUGGUUUUUUGUCGGUUUAGGGUGAGAAAAGAAUAUAAAUUGGCAUUUAAUUAUAUAAUAAGACAAAAUAUAGUAUAAUAGAAAUAAAAAUUAAUACGAAAAAACUAAAUUAAAAUAAUACAUUUUUGUUUUCUAAAGUUUUUUGCCUAUAUUAACUUUGCGGAUUUAUUUGAUUCGUUUAUGAAUUUACUUGGAAAAAAUUCGCAAGACGAAUUCAUUUUUUAUCAAAAAGAUCUUGCUUAAAAUUUUGCAGGUGGUCUACGUGCGAAUUAAAAUUUUUCGGUGAUAAUUACCUUUAAGAUUUUUCGAUCAAAUUUUGUUUGACAAAAAAAAAACUUAAAUUUUCUGCUUCAAAUUUUAUUUGAUAGAAAAAUUUGUAGGCUUUUCAUCGAAUUAGUUUGGUUGAAAUACUUUGUAGAGAACUAGGUUAUUGGUAAAUUCUGUUGCAAAUUUUUAAUAAAGAUUUUUUUGUACGUAAUUUAGAUUUUUCUUGUAGUUUAUAAAACGUAGGUUUGAAUAAAUGAGCUUGAAGAAUUAGACAGGUUUAUAUUUAAGAAAAUAAGAUUUUAUCAACAUGGCAUGCCAAGUUGGAGAGAAGAAGAUUUUAAAAAUGUUAAAUAUUUUUUGAAGAAAAUAAAGAUAGUUGGGUGAUAUUCUUGUGCUAAAAGAAAUAAAAAUAAUAUUUACAGUCAAUUGUCAAAACAUGAGUGACUAUAUGAUAAAGAGUUGUCUUGGGAGAUUCACUCCUAAAUAUAAAUUAUUAGAGAGAUGACAUUCUUAAUUAUCUAUUUCGUCUUGAACAUAUAUGUUUAAUAUGCCGAUCUACAUUAUAUUUAUUGAAUUAGAUCUUGAGAUAUUGUUGCUUUUCGGGCACUAAAACUCAAAAAUUACAACUUAGCACGUCUUGAUUUGUUAUCAAGUUGAAUUAUUAUACGCGUGUCGCACAUUAUUUUUUUUAAGAUAUGGUAAAUAUGGUAGAGUAUAUAUUUCGAUAUUCUAGAGGAUCUACUUUUAUUGAAGGUGUUUUAUUUAUUUCUUUUUGCUUCUUAAUGUUUUGUGUAUAAAUAGGGUUGUAUUAUCUUGUAUUCAAGAAUGCACAGAAACAUCGAUUUUCUUGUUUUUCUGUCUCUUUUUGUAACAUGGUAUUAGAGCUUCGUCAGAUCGUUAAAAUUCAUAUCCACUCUUGUUGAUAGCAAUUACUGGUUCAUCACUUUGUUGGUUCUCUUCUGUCUUUUAUUUUUUUGUUGACGUCAAUUUAUUGAGCGAAUAUCAUGUACAAGAAUGAUAUUUCUCAACCUAUUUCCAUUAUUCUCAAUGGAUCUAAUUAUCGUCAGUGAUGUGAGGCAAUGCGUAGUUUUUUGAAAGGGAUAAAGUUGUGGCGAUUUAUCUCUAGUGAUUUAACUUGUCCAAAGAAAAGUGAGACGGAUUAAAAGUUUGCUGAUCAUUUAGAAGAUUGAGAUAGUCAAAAUCAUCAGAUCAUUAUAUGGUUUUGGAACACUUCUGUUUCAAGUAUUCAUCUCCAAUUUGGACAAUUUGACACUGCAGAACAGGUAUGGGAUCAUCUUUCUCAACGGCAUACUAUUUUUUAUCUUUUACAUUGACCACGCUCACCUAUAUCGUUUAAAUUAAUAGAGGAUGAUUGUUGUCAAUAGCUCAACUUAUGUUGAGGUCGAAUCCACGAUGAGCGAAAUUAGCUUUCUAGUCCUAUGGGUGUUAAUAGUUACUAACAAGAUACCCUCAAUCUAAACAAAGUAAAAUACAUAAUUUAAAAUAGGGUUUGAUCUGCCACAAGGAUUGAUCAAUGUCUAUUAAAAACAACAAAUCUUAUUGAAAAUUCAAGAUGAGCAAGAUCUUGGGAUUAUGUCUACCUAAGGGAAAGUUAUGCAUGGGUGCAUGAUGAUUUGAUGCAAAUUCUAGUCAUUAAUGAUAUGGUGGGCUAGGUUGAAGGUCCUUGAGGUUAGUUUGUCAACAAAACCUCAAGAAUUUCACUCAUUGACCCUUUCGAGUACCUAAUGAGGGUAUCAAUUAAACCACCUAAUAGGUCAAUUGGGUAUCCCUAUUUCUAGGAAGAUGCCCAAGACAUAGCAAACUUUCUACUCACCCUUAUUUUUAAGAUAGCGAAAAGAUAGCAACCUACAGCCAUUAUUGUCCACUAUUGCUUCGUCACCCAUAUCCCUCUUUUAAAGAUGAUAUGGGUUCCAAAGUUCACCUGCAUCCCCUUCCAAGGAUGAUGUGAGCUUCAAGAACUUGGGGCUUUCACCCAAAAAUCCAUCUUGGGCAUUUGGGGUUUUCAGCCACAAACUCCAACUAAUUCAGACAAGCAAUAGUGACACCCAUCAUCAACAAACUAGAAUUACACAAAUACAUCACAACCCACAUAUAAUUGCACCUUAGUUCAACAUAAUUUCAAGACAAGAAAGUUUAGCUACUCAUGGAGUUAUGAAGAAGAAAUAUACCAAAAGGCUCAUUCAAAACAUCCAUGACAAUAAAAAAUUAGAAGGUUCUUCAAUCUAACUUCAAUUUCACCAACUUUAAAUUGGAAAAUUCAAACACAAAAAUUUCUCAAAUUAGUAGGGUUACAAAUUCUCCAAAAGUCAAUUGUUCAAAGUUUAAGAUACCAAAUGGGAAAGGGUUUUAGCAUUAUAAGAGAUUUGGGGUCGACUGAAAAAAAUAACAGACUUGCCCCUGGGCAUAAACCCACCUAGCUACGAUUGCCAUAGCUUGUCCGCAAUCGCAGCUACCACGACCGUAGUCAAAUAUUUAUGGUCGCGGAGGAUGACCAAUCUUGACUGGCCACGAUCGCGGCCCUCAGACUGCAAUCCCAGUAUCUAAGCCUGAUUAUGUGCAGGGUCUUCAGUUGUGCUUUUUUCUUCCCCUUUUGAUUUCUUUUCAGCUCAAAUCUACAUCUUUCUAUCCCAUCACCUGUGUACCUGCAAGCUAUAAAAAUUAGUGCAUUCAACUAACAAAUUUGUCUCAUUUAUACCUUAAAAUCAUAGUAGUGUGCAAGAAUUUUAGAUAUAAAUGAGUGGUAAAUUCACGACUCAUCAACGCCCUCAACUUAAACCUUUGCUUUUCCUCAAGCAACACUACCUCUUACUCAAUGAGACAAUGUAAAUUUAAGCCCAUUUAUACAAUCCAAUGAUCACAAUGACCUCAAACUUUACUACUACCACAUGUAGCUCUUCAAACAUAUGACAAGCUAUUCUCAUGACACCCCUUAUCAUGAAAUACAAUCUCAAAGAUGCAAGGGACUUUAAAGAAUAACAAUGCAACAAUCACUAACACUCUAGAAGUUACUCUCUAUUGACCUUAACUCCACUAUACUCCUACUGCCUCAUUAUUCGAAAGAUGACAAAAUCUCCCACUUUAAUUUAUUUACAUGUCUCCUCACAAGAAGGGAAAUCCCUCACACACCAAAUUAUCAAAUAUGCAAUAAUGGAUUUAAGUUUGAAACUCUCUCUCACAAGGAAUCUCAAUGUUAACAAGUACCAUACCAUAGGCUUGCCCUUAUUUUCCAUCACCACUAUAAUGAAUAAACUUGGUUGGAGAUCUAGAAAGUUUUUUGAGCCUGUAUCGUAAGUUCGUUGAAGGGUAGAAUAUCAUUUAGGAACAAAGUGGCUACACCCUCUUUGAACAUCUACAUCAUACUAUUCCAUCCAUCUAACUUUUUGACCAUGGAUCACUUAUUUUAUUUUCACACUUUACGCAUGAUUAUUUUAGCUCCCUUGAUUUACCCAACUUUCUGAAAACAUAUUUCAUUCGCCUAUUUCUUUUGCAAUCUAUGCCUCAUUCUUAUUUUCAUCAUUUCUUUCUUUUUCACUUUUUCAUUGUUUACCUCAUAGGCAUCAAUUUACAUUACAUUGGCCCAAGGUCAUCCCUUCCAAAUUUACCACCCCUAGCUUAGGCAUUUAACCUCAAUUUUUAUUUUUUAUGUUCAAGGAGGGUAGGGUUCAAGACAGGUAAAAAAUUUAAAUGGAUCAAGGCUUGUAACGUGGUUGCCAAAGAAAGGCUUGAAGGCUCGAAUUGGGUGACUAGGGGUACUAUCCUAAGCAUGGGCAGACUAUUUAAAGUGGGUUUUCAUGUUCACUAAGAUGGCCUAGGAUCAUUUUACCAACCAAGCAUACUCAAAAUUAGCCUUAAGAGACUAACGGGGUAGUUCUAGAUGGAACAAGUAUAUAUAAGAUUUAGGCAAAUAUGCUCACCACACAUACCAUGCAAACUACUCAAAUGGGCUCAAUUUUUCUUCCCACUAGAGGCCAAAUGGAGUAUCUAUCAAUUUCUACAAGACAAAAUUUUAAAGUCACAAAAAGAGGUAAAACAUUGUUACGAGGUCACUCACGUCCAUGCCCUUUAUUUUAUUUUUAAAAAAAUUUUGGACGGAGGGGGGUGUUUGCUUUGCAUUUGCACCACACACAAUUUGCUAUUUAUGGCACCAAACCAAGUCGACGUCUUAUAUUUAGCUUUCAUACGAGAAAAUAUUAUGGCUACUCAAUAUUUACCAUAGAUAUAAAUGUGAUACCAAAUCCAAAAUGUUACAGGUACUUAGAUCCCCCUUAAAUUUGGCUCAAAACUUAAUCACAGUGAUUUUCUUUUAAGAAUGUCGUCACUCAAUCUGUCAUAGAAAAAGGUUCCUCUGAUGUCACCAUAAACAAAAUAAAAAUAAAUUAAAAAUCUAAAAAUAAAACAAACAACUAAUCCAUGAAAUGUAGACACCAUAAGAAUGCCCAAAUAUUACAACCCAGAAAAAUAAAAAUCAUCCAAAAUAACAUAAAAAAUCCAAAAAUAUCUCAAUAAUACAGGCCUAAAUGAAUAAAUACGGAGACAGGCACUCCCAACUAAAUGGCUUGCAGUGUCCUCACUGCAUAAAUAAUAAAACAUAAAGAGAGAUAAGGGUGUUCCCUGAAAUUGUAUCAAGAGCUGCUCUUGCCCUCGGACUCUGUUUCAUCUCCAGCAUCAUCAAAACUGCACCACCACUCAACUGAGGCCUCAUUAUCUCUCUCCACUCUGGAAGAAGGUAGUCUAUCUCAGGGUUUUAAGACCAUCCAUAGGCCCUUUACCCCUUCCACAUCUUGCUAAAGAACUUGUCUCUCUUCUUCUCCUUUUUAUUCAUCUCCUCAUAGGAGUCCCAAAGAUCUCUAUGAGACUCUGCCAAUGAUAAGUAGGCCCUCUCAAGCAUAGCAAUGGUGACUCCCUGUGUCUGCUGAUCCGCCUCAUAAUUUUCAUAAUUAGAGCGAAACAUAUAAGAAUGGCAGUCAUGGAGGGCUUUUUUAGCCCCUGAGGCAAUCCCGACACAAGCUCCGUAAUGGAUCUAAAAUCAACACAAAUAUCCUCAAUGGGCCCAGCUGAGGAUGGCCUACAAGACUCUAGAUCCUCACAUGUCGACUUACCUAAGUCUAUCUUCUUAUUUUCGCUCUUUGCUGGACAUCCUUAUCCUAAAUUUUGAGAGGAUAAAUCAGGGUGCCAGGAUGCACCCAAGUGUCUUUGGGGUAUACCUCCACCCUGGCUCUUUUGUAAAGCUCAAUAAUUAGAGAAGGAAAUAAGAGAUGCAUACCACUAUGAAUCUUGAAGAACUUCAUGUUUGAGACCACAAGCUGACCAACAUUGAAAGAAAUGUCAUCUAGUAUACAAGAAACCAUCUGGGCCCACAAGUUUGGAGUUGCUGUUAUGUGGGUGCAAGGAGAGACUCAGCUACAGAUGAUGUUCAACCAAAUACAAGCCCCAACAGUGAAAUCAUUCAUGUAUAUAUUUCUCUUGGUAGCCUCCCAAGAGACCUCUUUGCCCGAACACAACUGCCCCGCUAUCCAUCUAUCUAGCUCAUACCCCUUUGCUUCAAAUUCAGCCAUAUCUACAUUCAGGAGCCCAUAUAUGGCAUUUAUAUGUUUGUCCCUAAAGUUUACCUUCUUUCAUCAAAUCUUGAUUACCAAGUACGAGAAAGGCACCAUGCUAAGAUUAAUGUAGAACUCUCUUACCCACUACUCAUUUGCCUUACACAAAUUUGGGGCAAAAUAUCUCCACCCUAUGGUAAUCAGCCUAUCAUGGAAUGCUGAAAGAUUUUUUGGCACCUUGUCCAAAAAAAUACUCCUCUCUGAAAGUAUCUUGAGUUUUGGAAGAUCACUAUAGUACAGAUUAUGGCACUCUUAGGAAAUAAAAUGAACUUGAUUGUAGUCUCCCAUGAUGUAAACCUGAGAAACAUGAGAACAACACAACAAAUUCAUCAUCAACAUUUUCCAUGUACAAACUAUGAUAUGUUGUCCAAUAAAGCUCAUAGGAUGGCUACUUGGUGGUGUUUGGACAAUAAUUGAAAAUGCAGGAUUUUUGGCCUAGUUUGAAAUUCAGCCUCAAAUAUGGCAAUCAUGGUCCACUGUGCCUCAAUUGCGAUGCCUCGAUCAUGAUCUAGUAGCCGCAAUCACGGUAUCCGACCCCAGAUUAGACCAGAUUUUCAACAAAGAAAAAUGCCAAAUUCUAAGCCAAAAAUGUUCCAACACAGGAAUUAAUAUCAAUAUCAUUGAACAAGAUUCAUAGAUACUCGAUCAUGCCCUUAGAAUGUGAAAACAACUAGUUAAGAGUUCUUUUGGGCAUUUGAUCGAGAACUUGGUGUACACACUAUGUUUCUCUCAAUUUUGAACGCAAUUUGGGUACUCAAGACUUUCCCACAUAUGUUCACACCAUUUAUAAAAGCUAACCACUACACAAGUAUAAAUAAUUAACAACUUAGCAAUGAAAACCAUAAGUUUAGUCCUCCCCUAGUUCAUGCAUUCUAUGACCUAUUAUAAUAAUUUAAGCACGAAUUCAAAAUACUUACUGAAGUAAUGAUGCAAAAUGGAUUCUAAGAUGCUUUUGGAUGCCUAAAAUAUGACCAGAAGUGAGCACAAUUUGAGAGAAAAGUUGACAAGGGGUGUGGGGGAAAUGGGGCAUUCAGAUGGUCAUCUAAAUAGACUUAACCAUGAUCGCGGACCGAGGUCUGCGAUCGAAAAUAAGUGGUGACCGUGAUCGUGGAGACAUGGGGCCUACAAUCGCGGUAACUAAGGGUAUUUCUGCACCUUUAUUUUCCCAUGUUCAGCUUAUACUCUCUUUUGACAAACUUUUCCUUGUUCAGUUUAACAUGCAAAAUUUCACAUUUUUCCCUUCUCAACUUAGUCAAAAACACUUCAAAGUGUAACAAAUGCAUGGAUUAAUCAAUGACAAAAAUAAAAUCUAUGCUACUAAAUUAAAAACAAAGGAUACGAUCCACUUUUAUGGCAUUUGUGGGUUUCGUCCCACAUAGUGCCUUAGUUAUCGUCGUGGCACGACGUCCUUUAUUUUUCUCAGGUUAGAUCCUCAAGGGACCCCUCAUUCAUUUCCUCUUCUUCAACAUCUGUAACCGACACCACUUGAAGCUCCAUGGGCUGUUUCUUUAUUUCGCAUACCCAGAAGGACACUUCACCAUCAUGGACUCUAAAUCUUAUUUCCCCAAGCUCCAAAUCGACAAUGGAUCUUUAGGUAGCAAGGAAAGGUCGACCAAGGAUAAUGGGCACCUCUUUGUCAAUCUCAUAAUCUAGCAUCACAAAAAUUUCCGGAAGAAUGAAUUUAUCCACUUUCACCAACACGUGUAAUAAAACACCAACCAAUUUUUUGAUAGACCGGUCCGACAUUAAAAGCCUCAUCGACAUUGGAGUAGGGGUACUCAAUAAAAGACUCUGAUAUAUUGCAAAAAUCCUGAGAUUAAUACUUGCACCAAGAUCACAUAAAGCUUUUUCAAACUUAUGUGUCCCAAUAAUGCACAGAAUUAUAAAAGCCCCGAGUCCUCAUUCUUUUCUGCUAUUGUGCUACUCAUGAUAGUGCUACACACAUGGGUGACUUGAAUGGUGUCACCUUCAACAAUAUUCUUCUUCGACAUCAAUUUCUUCAUAAGCUUAGCAUACCCCAAAAUCUCUUCGAUAGCCUUGAGUAUUGGAGUAUUGAUACAGAGGUUGCUAAGCUGAGCUAUGAAUUUCUUGAGCUUGUCAUUCUCUUCUUUUCUCUUAACCCUUUGUGGAAACGGAGAAGGGAUUUUCAUAGUGGGCAAUGUAUCACUUCGUGGCUUCUCAUUUUUUACCUUAUUUUUAUCAAUUUCCACAGGUUCCUUUUCAUCCCCUUCUUCUUGAGAUUUCGGAGUUUCUUAUUUUAGCUCAACCACAACUUUUUCCUUUAUAUUUUGUUGCUCAAUAUUGGGCUCUUUUGUACCCACACUUUCUCCCUCAAUUUCCCUUAAAUUAUCCCCGAGGGUUUUCCACUCCUAGUGACUAUUGUUAAAACUUGAGCAUCAUUUUUUAAUACACCAUAGUGUCACUAGAAAGGCCCCCCUUUGGUUUAGCAUUUAAUUAAGAAGAGAUUUGACCUAUUUGCAUUUCCAAUUGCUUAAUAGAAGCAGAAUGGGGAACAGUCGUUUGAUUGAUUUGCAAAAAGUCACCUUUCAAUUCACGAACCAUCUUGUCUGUUCCUUUCACUUUCAUCAAAAUUCUUGCCAAGACAUCUUCUAUUUUUUAUUUGUUGGGGUCAACAGUAUUUGCUUCUUUGUUAUUUUCCCAAUCAUGAAGGAGCACUAAUGAUCAUUGUCAUGGUCUUUAUCCCUUCAAUCACGAUCGUGAUCCCUAUCUCUGUCGUUCCAACCUUGGUUCUUACCUUGCCUUUGAUAGGCGGGGUGGGAACUCCCUGGAUAAUUGGCCAAAUAUCGAAUCUCUUCAUCAAGCUUCUUGGCCUCUUUAUCAUCAUAGGCUUUGGAUGCAAUGUCAUUCACCGCUUUUGUGGGUGCGCCCAUCACAUGUUUCUUUAAAAGCUCUAAUUGUGUCAUCAUUUUUGCGAUGUUUUUCUCCAUCUCUUCUUCUCUCUGCCUUUUCUCUUUAUCAACAAAGGAGGUAGUUGGGGAUCCUUUUGGUACCUAAUCUCCACGGGUGUGCCACCCCUAGUUUUGCUUGGUAACUUCCUCAAGAAAAUUUGUAUCUUUAUGAUAAGUCAACUUCAUUAGAGCCCCCUGUAGCAUUGUUAACCACAAUUUUUUUGAGUUGAUUUAGAGCCUAUAAGAAGAUUUGGAGAAGCUUCUUCUCCGGGACCUCAUGGUUGGGAGAUUCCAUGAGUUUUCUAUUAAAUCAUUCCUACACCUCGUACAAGGGUUAUCCAUUUAAUUGUCGAAAGUUAGUAAUUUUAUCACGCAAUUUUAGCAUCUUGCAUGGUGGGAAGUACCAGUCAAGGAAGGCAACAGUGAGUUCAUCCCAUGAAGUAAUUGAUCCAUCUAGAAGAGAUUAUAGGCACAAUACUACCUCUCCUGUUAGAAAAAAUGGGAAGAGGCACAACUUGAUGGACUUUUGGGAUAUGUGUUCAAUAUCAAAGGUUGUACACACUUCAACUAAAUUAUUCAAAUGCAAAUUGGGGUCCUCAUGGGCUUUACCCCAAAAAGUCCCUUUAUUUGCAGCAUAUUAAACAUGACACUCAUGACGUGAAAAACUUCUUUCCCAUGAGUAGGCAGGAUACAAAUGGUACUUGUACACCCAACGUCAUGGAGUUGCACCUUGUCAUUAACAGGACCGUCGAAGGACACAACAUGACUUGCAUUUUCACUCAUGGCUCUAGGUAUACUAUGGAGAUCACCUAAAAGAAAAAAAUAACAAUCAAAAUAAAUACGCACCACUAGGGUAUACCCUAAGUAAAAAUCAACACCUUACAGCUGAAAACUAAAUUUCACUCCCUAGCAGCGGUGCCAUUUUGAUCACGCUCACCUAUACUAUUUAAAUUGGUAGAGCACGAUUAUUGUCAAUAGCUCAACUUAUGUUGAGGUCGAAUCCACGAGGAGCGAAAUUAGCUUUCCAGUCCUAUGGGUGUUAAUAAUUACUAACAAGAUACCCAUAAUGUAAACAAAGUAAAAUACAUGAUUUAAAAUGGGGGUUCAUUUGGAACAAGGAUUGAUCAAUGUCUAUUCAUGUUAACCAACUAAAAACAACAAAUGUGAUUGAAAAUUCAAGAUAAGCAAGAUCUUGGGAUUAUGUAUACCUAAGGGCAAGUUAUGCAUGGGUGCUUGAUGAUUUGAUGCAAAUUCUAGUCAUUAAUGUUAUGGUGGGCUAGGUUGAAGGUCCUUGAGGUUAGUUUGUCAACAAAACCUCAAGAAUGUCACUCAUUAACCCUUUUGAGUAUCUUACGAGUGUAUCAAUUAAAAUUACCUAAUACCGCAAUUGGGCAUCCUUAUUUCUAGGAAGAUUCCCAAGAUAUAACAAACUCUCUACUCACUCUUAUUUCUAAGAUAGCAAAAAGAUAGGAACCUACAUCCAUUAUUGUCCACUAUUGCUUCGUUACCCAUAUUCCCCUUUCAAGGAUGAUAUGGGUUCCUAAAGUUUACCCACAUCCCUUUUUCAAGGAUGACGUGAGCUUUAAAGAACUUGAGGCUUUCACCCAUAAAUCCAUCUUGAGUAUUUGGGGUUCUAACCCAUAAACCCCAACUAAUUCAGACAAGCAAUAGUGAAACUUAUCAUCAACAAACUAGAAUAUACACAAAUACAUCACAACCCACACAUAAUGACACCUUAGUUCAACAUAAUCCCAAGACAAGAAAGUUUAGCUACUCAUAGAGUUAAGGAGAGGAAAUAUACCAAAAGGUUUAUUCAAAGAAUCCAUGGAAAUGGAAAAUUAGAAGGUUCUUCAAUCUAACUUGAAUUUCACCAACUCCAAAUUGGAAAAUCCAAAGAAAAAAGUUUCCUCAAUUAGUAGGGUUACAAAUUCUCCAAAAGUCAAUCAUUCAAAGUGUAAUAUACCAAAUGAGAAAAGGUUUUAGAAUUAUAAGGUAUUUGGGGUCAGCUACAGUCUUGCUCCUCGGCAUAAACCCGCCUAGCCGUGAUCGCUGUAACUUGUCUGCGAUCGCAGCUACCACGACCAUUUUUUAUUCUCCUAAUCGUGGAGGAUGACCCAUAUUGAUAGGCAAUGAUUAUGGCCCUAAGAUCGUGAUCGCAGUAUCUGAGCUUGAUUAUGUGCAGGGUCUUCAACUAUGCACGUUUCUUCUCCUUUUAAUUUCCUUUUAGAUCAAAUCCACAUCUUUCUAUCUUAUCACCUGUAUGCCUGCAAGAUGUAGAAAUUAUUGCAUUCAACUAACAAACUUGUCUCAUUCAUACCUUCAAAUCAUAGUAGUGUGCAUGAAUUUUGGAUGUAAAUGAGUGGUAAAUUCACCACUCAUCGCACAUCAUUUUCAAUUGAUGAAGGAUAUAGCCAGCUUGAAAUAAGAAAUGAGUGAACCUGUCUAUGAAUCUCUCCCUAAGAUGGAUUUCAUCUGUAAUCAAUUGAACUUGACCAAACCAACUCUAAAAAUUCUAAUGUUGCAAAUUUUUUGCUAACCACAAUAAUGACAAAUUGAUUCAAUUCUUAAUGGCCCUUACUAAUGAUUACGAACCAAUUCGGGUUACAAUGCAUAACCAGUAACCUUUGCCAACUAUGGGAGAUAUUCUUUAUCACCUUACAUCUAAAGAUACUUAUUUGGAUACUACGCAUUUAUUGGAUAAUUCAAGUCUUGCAGCCACUAACAGGAUUGGUGUCAAAUUUGUCAUAAUCGUCAUCAAACUAGUCAUUCUUUUCAUGAUUGCCCAGUUAUUGGAUGCAAUAAAUGUAAGAAAAGGACCAUAUCUCUAGGAAUUGUCCUCUAAUAUGCAAUUAUUAUAAAAAGAAAGAUUACUUGAUUGGGAACUAUCCUACUCGUACUCAAAACAAAAAUUGAUCUCAUUUGAAUCAACCGUUCAAUCCAAUUUUUAGUAACCAGUAAUUUCAAGACUUUGUCAAUUGACCUUCAAUAUCUCCUCAGUAAUCUCCUCGCUUCAACUAGUAAUAGCCCUGCAGCUCUAAUUACUCCUUUAGAGUAAUUCACUUUGGUACUUCAAUCCAGUACAUAGCAAUCACAUGAUGUAUUCUUUCAAGAUUUUUUAUGAUCUAGAUGCUCUUUCCAGCCCCUCAUAUUUAUAGUGUUGAUGGAUCCAAUAUGAAUGUUAGUAAUAAAGGAUACAUUUCAUCAUUAGAUCUCUCUUUUCCUGAUACAUUUAUAAUUUCAUGUUUAAAUUUUAUUCUUAUCUUUUUUGGCCAAUUGUGUAAUUCUAGAUAUGAUGUAAAUUUUUCUUCUCAGGGUUGUUGAUUGCAGGACCUUUAGAUGGGUCAAAUCAUUAGGAUAUGCCGUAAAGUUGGGUAUAUGUUGUUGGGUGGAGGGUAAAAAAUGAGAUCACACUUAAAAAGAAAAGUGUACUCAGAAAAAAGAAAAAUACACUAAUUCUCCCACGUUGGUGGGAGAACUAAACUUUCAAGUGUUGUUAUAAAGAAACACAUCUCCACAUAAACAGUGAGGCAAGAAAAAAAAAGUACCUCGCGCUGUUGGUGUCGUCGCUCGCUCGGCUCGGCUUCGGCUUUGGAUUUAGAAAAUGAUCUAUAUGAUUAAUUUUUUAGACAAAUUUUAUUUGAAACUUGUAAAACAAGUGAAGUUUUAAUCCAAAAUUCAAUGGAAUAAUUUUCUCCAUAUGCAUGCAUAUUUCAGCCGUCAUGCAAACACAUGUGCAAUACAUCUCGAAAGGAACGCGAACUUUAGAUAAAAAGACAUUGUUUUGAAAAAAGGGCAACCUGCUAUCGCAGGUCAAGUGCAGACUGGCUUAGACUGGUACAGGUUAGGCGCAGAAGCCACUGGAAUGGGCAAAACAUCACCUACGACCACAGUUUAGGCACAGUUCCAGCAUAGACUGAGGGCAGGUGACGUGACUGUUCAGUAAUAAUGCAGAUUUUCUAGAACCAAUGCUUCCUUUUCGAAGGAACACCUAAUGGAUAUAAAUACCUGACUUAUUCUACAGGUAGAUACAUAAUUUUUAGAACUGAAAAACACUUAUUGUCUUCUAAAAACUCAUUGUGAUCAUCUCCCAUUGAGUGAGUUUGAAGAAUCCGAUAGUUUGAGGUACCUCUACUAUUGAAUUGUAAGCCAUUUAUCCUGGAAGAAAAAAUUCCGCAACCUUGGGUACUUGAGGGGAAUUAAUUCCUUAAGGACACUCCGUGAAUUUAGAGGACUUGGCUUUAUUUUCGUUUUAAAAUAUAACACACUUCUUUGAUAGUUUAUAUUGAACUUGUGUUGAAAAACUUCAUAAGUAUUCUUGAAAUAGUCUUGAACAUGUGUUGAAUUUUAGUGUAUAAACAUACAGAUUGUGUACUCAAAAUAACAAUCUUAAGAAAUUGACUUUCCUAAUCUGUAUUGUUUGAUUUUUGGAGAUCAAAGAUUUAUGCUUUCUACUCUGUUUUAUCACAAGUUAAAGGUUAUUCGAUUAACGAUUGGAAGACAUAAAAACUUUAUCGUUAAACUAGAAACAAGUAGUGUUUAUAAGUUUCUACAAACUUGUAAUUAGUAUAUUUUUACACUAAAAUUGAUUGUCUUUUUGUAACAGGAAAAAUGACUACAGAUGGUCAUAUGAAUGAUGCUAGGACAAGUGUGGCAGCAACGAGUGUUGAUAAAAGGCAAUGGCACCAGUGGAGACACUCGAAAAAUUCGUGGGUGUUGAUUUUAAAAGGUGGAAACAGAAGAUAUUCUUCUACCUUACAAUCUUGUAUCUUUAAAGAUUUAAAUUUUAAGAAACUCCAGAAUUGCCAAAGAAACUUCGAACCAGGAGCGAUUUAUUAUUACGGAAACAUUCUGAUUUUCUAUACAGGAAUUCCAUUCUGAUUUCCUAUAUAGGAAUUACAUCCGAAGUGGCCUUACAGACGAUCUAUUCAACAUGUAUAGUGGAAUGAAGACUUCAAAAGAGUUGUAGAGUGCGUCAUAAAUAAAAUACUCCGCUUAAGAUGAUGGAGUCAAGAAGUUAUAUGUUGCAAGAUUCCUUGAGUAUAAAAUGAUUGACAACAAGUCUGUCAUAUCUCAAGUACAGGAAUUGUAAGUUGUCAUCCACGAUCUCCUUAUGAAAGGUUUGAUUGUGAACAAGCCGUUUCAAGUCGCUGCAAUAAUAGAGAAGUUGUCACCUAUGUGGAAGUACUUUAAGAACUACUUGAAACAUAAAUGAAAUGAGAUGAUAGUCGAAGAUCUCAUAGUAAGGCUGCUCAUUAAAGAAGACAACAAAGCCGCAGAAAGGAGGUUAAAAGGUAAUUCUGCAAUGAGUAGAGCAAACAUUGUAGAAAACAACUACAACAACUCGAAAAAACAGAAAAAAGUUGGACAAGAAAACAAUCAACCUAAGAAAAAAUUCAAGGGGAAAUGCUUUAAUUGUGGUAAGAUUGGCCACAAGUCAACAGAUUGUCGUGCCCCAAAGAAAGGCGAAAAAAAGGACCAAGAAAAUAUGAUUGAAUCUAAGAACGAAAUGGACGAUCUAUGUGCCUUGCUGUCUGAAUGUAACUUGAUGCAAAAUCCUUGAGAAUAGUGAUAGAUUCUGGUGUCACCCGCCAGAUUUGUGGAAAUAAAGAGUUGUUUGUUGCAUUUUCUCCAGCUCAAGGUGAAGAGAAGAUGUAUAUGGAAAACUCUGCAAUGGCAAAAGUUAAAGAAACAGGAAAAGUCUGCCUGAAAAUGAUAUCUGGCAAAGUGUUGACUCUUAACAAUGUCCUAUAUGUACCGGAGUUAAGGAUGAACUUGAUUUUUGUAUCACUUAUUAAUAAAAAUAUAUUUAAAUGUGUAUUUAUUUUUGAAAAAAUUGUAAUUAGCAAAGGGGAAGAGUACAUAGAAAAAAGCUACCUUACUGAGGGCCUAUUUAAGAUGAAUGUAGUGACUGUUGAAAUCAAUAAAAAUUCAGUUUCUUCUUA